RNAcentral lists this ribosomal RNA (626 nucleotides) under uncultured bacterium. RNAcentral's name for it is "bacterial SSU rRNA". It matches the Rfam family "Bacterial small subunit ribosomal RNA", at positions 248 to 863 of the family's 1533-position model. The record is from RNAcentral.
GUUGGCGGGGUAACGGCCCACCAAGGCUACGAUGGGUAGCCGGCCUGAGAGGGUGUCCGGCCACACUGGGAUUGAGAUACGGCCCAGACUCCUUCGGGAGGCAGCAGUCGAGGAUCUUCCACAAUGGGCGAAAGCCUGAUGGAGCGACGCCGCGUGAGGGAUGAAGGCCCUUUGGGUUGUAAACCUCUGUUAGGGGAGAAGAACAGCGGGGGGAGCAACAUGCCCUCCGCCUGACGUUAUCCCCAGAGAAAGCUCCGGCCAACUCCGUGCCAGCAGCCGCGGUAAUACGGGGGGAGCGAGCGUUGUCCGGAAUCAUUGGGCGUAAAGGGCGUGUAGGCGGCUCGGCAAGUCGAAUGUGAAAUCCCACGGCUCAACCGUGGAACUGCGUUCGAAACUGCCCUGCUUGAGUGCGGGAGAGGUGUGCGGAAUUCCUGGUGUAGCGGUGGAAUGCGUAGAUAUCAGGAAGAACACCGGUGGCGAAGGCGGCACACUGGCCUAGCACUGACGCUGAGGCGCGAAAGCGUGGGGAGCGAACGGGAUUAGAUACCCCGGUAGUCCACGCUGUAAACGUUGGGCACUAGGUAUCGGAGGUCUCAACCCCUUCGGUGCCGCAGUUAACGCGUUAA